Molecule: ribosomal RNA, 252 nt
Filed under: uncultured Bacteroidales bacterium
Lineage: Bacteria; Pseudomonadati; Bacteroidota; Bacteroidia; Bacteroidales
Description: partial 16S ribosomal RNA
Rfam family: Bacterial small subunit ribosomal RNA
Source: RNAcentral
UACGUAGGGGGCAAGCGUUAUCCGGAUUUAUUGGGUUUAAAGGGUGCGUAGGCGGAAUAUCAAGUCAGCGGUCAAAGCCCGGGGCUCAACCCCGGCCCGCCGUUGAAACUGGCAGUCUCGAGUUGGAGAGAAGUAUGCGGAAUGCGCGGUGUAGCGGUGAAAUGCAUAGAUAUCGCGCAGAACUCCGAUUGCGAAGGCAGCAUGCCGGCGCCCGACUGACGCUGAAGCACGAAAGCGUGGGUAUCGAACAGG